CCUACCUUCGCCUCUUUGCAAUAUUCUCAAGGAUGCCCCUGGGACACAGACCAAGGCACCAGAGAAGGAAGUACUAUCGAAGCUCCUCCUUACUACUGAGAAUGGUGAAGAGGCAGAGAGGAUGAACUCAAAAGCAGCAUGCUUUAUUCCAACCCGGAAUAUAGUUAGAUAAGGUGUGCAGCCUUGACCCGAGUGUCACGUGGAAGAAACAAGGUCCUGCUGCCCUCAUGGUUGCUCACUGAUGCCCUCCUUGCCUUCUUUUCUCAGAACUUGUCUUCAGCGGUUUGGCGAUCUUUCACAGUAGUUGGGAAACAGGAGAAGUAAGAUUAUUAAACAACAAUUGCCAUUCUUUCUGCUCCUCCACUCUAUAAUCCAUCUGAAUCCUGAAAAUCCCAAGUCAAAGCACCCCAUCUCUAAUGCCACAUUGUCUGGGACAGAAAUACAUACAGAAAAGGGACAGAUACAAAGCGCUACCCUGGACUCAUCAUGACAACUGUCGUAAGAGGACCUCCGCAGCAGUGCUGCUAGGUGUGAGAGAUGCAUCUGUUGCUUGUGAAGUGGGAACAGGGAGCAGGUGAAAGGGGAAGCGGGAAGCGGAACACAGCCGUGACCUCCUGUCAGCAGGCGCUGUCUUAGAUCAGUUUUAGGAAAGGCAGUUCUUGCUUUCCUUCAGUCUCUCGUGCUUGUGAGCCUCUUGUGCCCCUUGCCCUGAUCCAAGGGCCCCUGAUGCUGAGGGAUGACCGUGGACUUCCGAACUCCAGCCCCACUAUUUACUGAGCAGCUGUGUGCUGCGUGACAUGGGGGUGGUGACACCUACCUCGCAGGGGUUCUGAGAAGAGUAAAUUGAUUAAAGGACUUCGU
RNAcentral lists this long non-coding RNA (861 nucleotides) under Homo sapiens (human). RNAcentral describes it as "HSALNT0059642". The record is from RNAcentral. Lineage: Eukaryota; Metazoa; Chordata; Mammalia; Primates; Hominidae.